ACGCACGCUGGCGGCAUGCCUAACACCUGCAAGUCGAACGAGACCUUCGGGUCUAGUGGCGCACGGGUGCGUAACGCGUGGGAAUCUGCCCUUCGGUUGGGAAUAACUGAGAGAAAUUUCAGCUAAUACCUUAUAAUGUCUUCGGACCAAAGAUUUAUCGCCGAGGGAUGAGCCCGCGUAGGAUUAGGUAGUUGGUGGGGUAAUGGCCUACCAAGCCGACGAUCCUUAGCUGGUCUGAGAGGAUGAUCAGCCACACUGGGACUGAGACACGGCCCAGACUCCUACGGGAGGCAGCAGUGGGGAAUAUUGGACAAUGGGCGAAAGCCUGAUCCAGCAAUGCCGCGUGAGUGAUGAAGGCCUUAGGGUUGUAAAGCUCUUUUACCCGGGAUGAUAAUGACAGUACCGGGAGAAUAAGCUCCGGCUAACUCCGUG
RNAcentral lists this ribosomal RNA (432 nucleotides) under uncultured bacterium. RNAcentral's name for it is "partial 16S ribosomal RNA". It matches the Rfam family "Bacterial small subunit ribosomal RNA", at positions 29 to 507 of the family's 1533-position model. The record is from RNAcentral.